Molecule: ribosomal RNA, 253 nt
Filed under: uncultured bacterium
Lineage: Bacteria
Description: partial 16S ribosomal RNA
Rfam family: Bacterial small subunit ribosomal RNA
Source: RNAcentral
UACGUAGGGGGCAAGCGUUGUCCGGAAUCACUGGGCGUAAAGGGCGCGUAGGCGGCCUGGUAAGUAGGGGGUGAAAUCCUGCGGCUUAACCGCAGGGCUGCCUUCUAAACUGUCAGGCUUGAGCACGGUAGAGGCAGAUGGAAUUCCCGGUGUAGCGGUGGAAUGCGUAGAGAUCGGGAAGAACAUCAGUGGCGAAGGCGGUCUGCUGGGCCGUUGCUGACGCUGAGGCGCGACAGCGUGGGGAGCAAACAGG